This 248-nucleotide ribosomal RNA is filed under the name uncultured bacterium. RNAcentral's name for it is "partial 16S ribosomal RNA". It matches the Rfam family "Bacterial small subunit ribosomal RNA", at positions 107 to 353 of the family's 1533-position model. The record is from RNAcentral.
UGAGUAACGCGUGGGUAACCUGCCUUAUACAGGGGGAUAACAGUCAGAAAUGGCUGCUAAUACCGCAUAAGCGCACAGUGCUGCAUGGCACAGUGUGAAAAACUCCGGUGGUAUGAGAUGGACCCGCGUCUGAUUAGCUAGUUGGUGGGGUAACGGCCUACCAAGGCGACGAUCAGUAGCCGGCCUGAGAGGGUGAACGGCCACAUUGGGACUGAGACACGGCCCAAACUCCUACGGGAGGCAGCAUG